AAAACAUGACUUUGAUCUGCGUCCUCAUCUGGACUCUCCUCUGCUGCUGCUUCACAGAGUCCAGAGGACAGAUCACAGUGACUCAGCCUGGAGCAGUGAGCUCUGCUGUGGGAGGAUCUGUGAGCAUCAAGUGUAGGACCAGUCAGGAUGUUUUUGUUCAAAGCAACUCUCACUGUUUAGCCUGGUUCCAACAGAAAGAUGAAAAACCUCCCAAACGGUUCAUUUACUACACUAGCAUUCGAGAUUCAGGGAUUCCAGCUCGUUUUACAGGCAGUGGAUCAAACUCUGACUUCACUCUGACCAUCAGUGGAGUCCAGGCUGAAGAUGCAGCAGUUUAUUACUGUCAGAGUUAUCACUACAUCAACAAUCAAGGUGUGUUCACACAGUGAAAAACAGUCGUACAA
Molecule: non-coding RNA, 404 nt
Organism: Oreochromis niloticus (Nile tilapia)
Lineage: Eukaryota; Metazoa; Chordata; Actinopteri; Cichliformes; Cichlidae
Source: the annotation of a RefSeq genome assembly